UUGAACGCUGGCGGCAGGCCUAACACAUGCAAGUCGAGCGGAUGAAGGGAGCUUGCUCCUGGAUUCAGCGGCGGACGGGUGAGUAAUGCCUAGGAAUCUGCCUGGUAGUGGGGGAUAACGUCCGGAAACGGGCGCUAAUACCGCAUACGUCCUGAGGGAGAAAGUGGGGGAUCUUCGGACCUCACGCUAUCAGAUGAGCCUAGGUCGGAUUAGCUAGUUGGUGGGGUAAAGGCCUACCAAGGCGACGAUCCGUAACUGGUCUGAGAGGAUGAUCAGUCACCUGGGAAGGGAGACAGGGUCAAGAGUACUACGGGAGGCAGCAGUGGGGAAUAUGGGACAGUGGGGGAAAGCAUGAUCCAGCCAGGCGGCGUGUGUGAAGAAGGUCUUGGGAUUGUAAAGAAGGUUAAGUUGGGAGGAAGGGCAGUAGGUUAAGACCUUGCUGUUUUGACGUUACCAACAGAAUAAGCACCGGCUAACUUCGUG
Molecule: ribosomal RNA, 483 nt
Filed under: uncultured bacterium
Lineage: Bacteria
Description: partial 16S ribosomal RNA
Rfam family: Bacterial small subunit ribosomal RNA
Source: RNAcentral